GACGAACGCUGGCGGCGUGCUUAACACAUGCAGGUCGAACGGAAAGGCCCUGCUUUUGUUGGGUGCUCGAGUGGCGAACGGGUGAGUAACACGUGAGUAACCUGCCCUUGACUUUGGGAUAACUUCAGGAAACUGGGGCUAAUACCGGAUAGGAGCUCCUGCUGCAUGGUGGGGGUUGGAAAGUUUCGGCGGUUGGGGAUGGACUCGCGGCUUAUCAGCUUGUUGGUGGGGUAGUGGCUUACCAAGGCUUUGACGGGUAGCCGGCCUGAGAGGGUGACCGGCCACAUUGGGACUGAGAUACGGCCCAGACUACUACGGGAGGCAGCAGUGGGGAAUAUUGCACAAUGGGCGGAAGCCUGAUGCAGCAACGCCGCGUGCGGGAUGACGGCCUUCGGGUUGUAAACCGCUUUCGCCUGUGACGAAGCGUGAGUGACGGUAAUGGGUAAAGAAGCACCGGCUAACUACGUG
Molecule: ribosomal RNA, 468 nt
Filed under: uncultured bacterium
Lineage: Bacteria
Description: partial 16S ribosomal RNA
Rfam family: Bacterial small subunit ribosomal RNA
Source: RNAcentral